AAAGAUGAAGACUUUGAAGGAGCCAAGUAACUGAGGAGCCAGAUCCAACCCUCGAGGACAGCAGGGAGAUUGAGGAGGAGAUAAGUGCUGGCCCCAGUGGAUCAUCCGUGGUUCCCAGCACUAGUGCCCACUCCCAACCACAGCCUGGAAAAAGUCUCCAGAGGCCAGCUGAAGAUGGACCGAGUCAGUCCCCCUCCUCAAUUCUAGAAGAGCUGUCCCCUAGGCCAAGAAUAAAAAACAAGAGGCCACGAAAGAGGGCAUGUGAAUCUUCAGCUGUGCUGACCUCCUCGCCAUAUAAAAAAUGUUGGAGGACAAGAUAGCUUACAAAACAA
Molecule: long non-coding RNA, 332 nt
Organism: Cyprinus carpio (common carp)
Lineage: Eukaryota; Metazoa; Chordata; Actinopteri; Cypriniformes; Cyprinidae
Exons: 3
Source: RefSeq, a predicted model, not a curated record